This 97-nucleotide transfer RNA is filed under the name Mycobacterium branderi. Its description in RNAcentral is "tRNA-Ala". The record is from RNAcentral. Lineage: Bacteria; Bacillati; Actinomycetota; Actinomycetes; Mycobacteriales; Mycobacteriaceae.
UCGGGGGUAUACAGGCGGACCGUGCAGUCGCCGUCGGCAGUGGUGACGGUGUCGGUGAUGUUCGGCAUGGCUACCGUUUUACUCCGCGGCCCUCGGU